UACAGAGGGUGCAAGCGUUGUUCGGAAUUACUGGGCGUAAAGCGCGUGUAGGCUGCGGAGUAAGUCGGAUGUGAAAUCCCUUGGCUUAACCAAGGAAGUGCAUCCGAUACUGUUUCGCUUGAGUGUCGGAGGGGAUGGCGGAAUUCCCGGUGUAGAGGUGAAAUUCGUAGAUAUCGGGAGGAACACCAGUGGCGAAGGCGGCGAUCUGGGAAGAUACUGACGCUGAGGUGCGAAAGCGUGGGGAGCAAACAGG
Molecule: ribosomal RNA, 253 nt
Filed under: uncultured bacterium
Lineage: Bacteria
Description: partial 16S ribosomal RNA
Rfam family: Bacterial small subunit ribosomal RNA
Source: RNAcentral